Molecule: long non-coding RNA, 176 nt
Filed under: Felis catus (domestic cat)
Lineage: Eukaryota; Metazoa; Chordata; Mammalia; Carnivora; Felidae
Description: lncRNA (ENSFCAG00000047026.1)
Source: RNAcentral
UCCCUUCCAGGCCAACAACAAAAUUCAACGACAUUCUAGUCUUCAGAAUGAAAGCUCACUUGAAUUAAAACCUUCACCUCUCCUGCCCCUCUUGAGGUUGACUUUAUUGUGCGGAGAUGCAGACAUAAAUUUGAAACCGUGAAAAAAAAUGAUGUUUUAAAAAUAGAAUCCUAGAA